Molecule: ribosomal RNA, 253 nt
Filed under: uncultured bacterium
Lineage: Bacteria
Description: partial 16S ribosomal RNA
Rfam family: Bacterial small subunit ribosomal RNA
Source: RNAcentral
UACGUAGGGUGCAAGCGUUGUCCGGAAUUACUGGGCGUAAAGAGUUCGUAGGCGGUUUGUCGCGUCGUUCGUGAAAACUUGGGGCUUAACUCCAAGCGUGCGGGCGAUACGGGCAGACUUGAGUACUACAGGGGAGACUGGAAUUCCUGGUGUAGCGGUGAAAUGCGCAGAUAUCAGGAGGAACACCGGUGGCGAAGGCGGGUCUCUGGGUAGUAACUGACGCUGAGGAACGAAAGCGUGGGUAGCGAACAGG